RNAcentral lists this ribosomal RNA (753 nucleotides) under bacterium 153_xplvp376. Its description in RNAcentral is "bacterial SSU rRNA". It matches the Rfam family "Bacterial small subunit ribosomal RNA", at positions 51 to 804 of the family's 1533-position model. The record is from RNAcentral. RNAcentral also lists the same sequence under 1 other name.
ACACAUGCAGUCGAGGGGUAUUGGUAGCUUGCUACCAAGAGACCGGCGCACGGGUGCGUAACGCGUAUGCAAUCUACCUUUCACAAAGGGAUAGCCCAGAGAAAUUUGGAUUAAUACCUUAUAGUAUAUGAGAACCGCAUGGUUUUUUUAUUAAAGAUUUAUCGGUGAAAGAUGAGCAUGCGUCCCAUUAGCUAGAUGGUAAGGUAACGGCUUACCAUGGCGACGAUGGGUAGGGGUCCUGAGAGGGAGAUCCCCCACACUGGUACUGAGACACGGACCAGACUCCUACGGGAGGCAGCAGUGAGGAAUAUUGGUCAAUGGGCGCAAGCCUGAACCAGCCAUGCCGCGUGCAGGAUGAAGCAUCUAUGGUGUGUAAACUGCUUUUAUACGAGAAGAAACACUGCUUCGUGAAGCAGCUUGACGGUAUCGUAAGAAUAAGGACCGGCUAACUCCGUGCCAGCAGCCGCGGUAAUACGGAGGGUCCAAGCGUUAUCCGGAAUCAUUGGGUUUAAAGGGUCCGUAGGCGGGCCAGUAAGUCAGUGGUGAAAUCUCCCGGCUCAACCGGGAAAUUGCCAUUGAUACUGCUGGUCUUGAAUUAUUGGGAAGUAACUAGAAUAUGUAGUGUAGCGGUGAAAUGCUUAGAGAUUACAUGGAAUACCAAUUGCGAAGGCAGGUUACUAUCAAUAUAUUGACGCUGAUGGACGAAAGCGUGGGUAGCGAACAGGAUUAGAUACCCUGGUAGUCCACGCCGUA